This 505-nucleotide ribosomal RNA is filed under the name uncultured bacterium. RNAcentral's name for it is "bacterial SSU rRNA". It matches the Rfam family "Bacterial small subunit ribosomal RNA", at positions 501 to 1008 of the family's 1533-position model. The record is from RNAcentral.
CUACGUGCCAGCAGCCGCGGUAAUACGGAAGGUCCGGGCGUUAUCCGGAUUUAUUGGGUUUAAAGGGAGCGUAGGCCGGAGAUUAAGUGUGUUGUGAAAUGUAGACGCUCAACGUCUGACUUGCAGCGCAUACUGGUUUCCUUGAGUACGCACAACGUUGGCGGAAUUCGUCGUGUAGCGGUGAAAUGCUUAGAUAUGACGAAGAACUCCGAUUGCGAAGGCAGCUGACGGGAGCGCAACUGACGCUUAAGCUCGAAGGUGCGGGUAUCGAACAGGAUUAGAUACCCUGGUAGUCCGCACAGUAAACGAUGGAUGCCCGCUGUUGGUACCUGGUAUCAGCGGCUAAGCGAAAGCAUUAAGCAUCCCACCUGGGGAGUACGCCGGCAACGGUGAAACUCAAAGGAAUUGACGGGGGCCCGCACAAGCGGAGGAACAUGUGGUUUAAUUCGAUGAUACGCGAGGAACCUUACCCGGGCUUGAAUUGCAGAGGAAUUAUUUAGAGAUA